RNAcentral lists this ribosomal RNA (787 nucleotides) under uncultured Clostridia bacterium. RNAcentral's name for it is "bacterial SSU rRNA". It matches the Rfam family "Bacterial small subunit ribosomal RNA", at positions 74 to 884 of the family's 1533-position model. The record is from RNAcentral. Lineage: Bacteria; Bacillati; Bacillota; Clostridia.
GCAUUAAAUGAAAGAUGAGCGGCGGACGGGUGAGUAACGCGUGGGUAACCUGCCCUAUACACAUGGAUAACAUACUGAAAAGUUUACUAAUACAUGAUAAUAUAUAUUUACGGCAUCGUAGAUAUAUCAAAGUGUUAGCGGUAUAGGAUGGACCCGCGUCUGAUUAGCUAGUUGGUGAGAUAACUGCCCACCAAGGCGACGAUCAGUAGCCGACCUGAGAGGGUGAUCGGCCACAUUGGAACUGAGACACGGUCCAAACUCCUACGGGAGGCAGCAGUGGGGAAUAUUGCACAAUGGGCGCAAGCCUGAUGCAGCAACGCCGCGUGAACGAUGAAGGUCUUCGGAUCGUAAAGUUCUGUUGCAGGGGAAGAUAAUGACGGUACCCUGUGAGGAAGCCCCGGCUAACUACGUGCCAGCAGCCGCGGUAAUACGUAGGGGGCUAGCGUUAUCCGGAUUUACUGGGCGUAAAGGGUGCGUAGGUGGUCUUUCAAGUCGGUGGUUAAAGGCUACGGCUCAACCGUAGUUAGCCUCCGAAACUGGAAGACUUGAGUGCAGGAGAGGAAAGUGGAAUUCCCAGUGUAGCGGUGAAAUGCGUAGAUAUUGGGAGGAACACCAGUAGCGAAGGCGGCUUUCUGGACUGCAACUGACACUGAGGCACGAAAGCGUGGGUAGCAAACAGGAUUAGAUACCCUGGUAGUCCACGCUGUAAACGAUGAGUACUAGGUGUCGGGGGUUACCCCCCUCGGUGCCGCAGCUAACGCAUUAAGUACUCCGCCUGGGGAGUACG